AUUGAACGCUGGCGGCAGGCCUAACACAUGCAAGUCGAACGGUAACAGGAAGCAGCUUGCUGCUUUGCUGACGAGUGGCGGACGGGUGAGUAAUGUCUGGGAAACUGCCCGAUGGAGGGGGAUAACUACUGGAAACGGUAGCUAAUACCGCAUAACGUCGCAAGCCCAAAGAGGGGGACCUUAGGGCCUCUUGCCAUCGGAUGUGCCCAGAUGGGAUUAGCUAGUAGGUGGGGUAACGGCUCACCUAGGCGACGAUCCCUAGCUGGUCUGAGAGGAUGACCAGCCAAACUGGAACUGAGACACGGUCCAGACUCCUACGGGAGGCAGCAGUGGGGAAUAUUGCACAAUGGGCGCAAGCCUGAAGCAGCCAUGCCGCGUGUAUGAAGAAGGCCUUCGGGUUGUAAAGUACUUUCAGCGGGGAGGAAGGGAGUAAAGUUAAUACCUUUGCUCAUUGACGUUACCCGCAGAAGAAGCACCGGCUAACUCCGUG
This 490-nucleotide ribosomal RNA is filed under the name uncultured bacterium. Its description in RNAcentral is "partial 16S ribosomal RNA". It matches the Rfam family "Bacterial small subunit ribosomal RNA", at positions 30 to 507 of the family's 1533-position model. The record is from RNAcentral.